AUGCAGUCGAACGAUGAAGCCCAGCUUGCUGGGNGGUUAGUGGCGAACGGGUGAGUAACACGUGAGUAACCUGCCCUUAACUCUGGGAUAAGCCUGGGAAACUGGGUCUAAUACCGGAUAGGAGCGCCUACCGCAUGGUGGGUGUUGGAAAGAUUUAUCGGUUUUGGAUGGACUCGCGGCCUAUCAGCUUGUUGGUGAGGUAAUGGCUCACCAAGGCGACGACGGGUAGCCGGCCUGAGAGGGUGACCGGCCACACUGGGACUGAGACACGGCCCAGACUCCUACGGGAGGCAGCAGUGGGGAAUAUUGCACAAUGGGCGCAAGCCUGAUGCAGCGACGCCGCGUGAGGGAUGACGGCCUUCGGGUUGUAAACCUCUUUCAGUAGGGAAGAAGCGAAAGUGACGGUACCUGCAGAAGAAGCACCGGCUAACUACGUGCCAGCAGCCGCGGUAAUACGUAGGGUGCGAGCGUUAUCCGGAAUUAUUGGGCGUAAAGAGCUCGUAGGCGGUUUGUCGCGUCUGUCGUGAAAGUCCGGGGCUUAACCCCGGAUCUGCGGUGGGUACGGGCAGACUAGAGUGCAGUAGGGGAGACUGGAAUUCCUGGUGUAGCGGUGGAAUGCGCAGAUAUCAGGAGGAACACCGAUGGCGAAGGCAGGUCUCUGGGCUGUAACUGACGCUGAGGAGCGAAAGCAUGGGGAGCGAACAGGAUUAGAUACCCUGGUAGUCCAUGCCGUAAACGUUGGGCACUAGGUGUGGGGACCAUUCCACGGUUUCCGCGCCGCAGCUAACGCAUUAAGUGCCCCGCCUGGGGAGUACGGCCGCAAGGCUAAAACUCAAAGGAAUUGACGGGGGCCCGCACAAGCGGCGGAGCAUGCGGAUUAAUUCGAUGCAACGCGAAGAACCUUACCAAGGCUUGACAUGUUCUCGAUCGCCGUAGAGAUACGGUUUCCCCUUUGGGGCGGGUUCACAGGUGGUGCAUGGUUGUCGUCAGCUCGUGUCGUGAGAUGUUGGGUUAAGUCCCGCAACGAGCGCAACCCUCGUUCCAUGUUGCCAGCACGUCAUGGUGGGGACUCAUGGAAGACUGCCGGGGUCAACUCGGAGGAAGGUGAGGACGACGUCAAAUCAUCAUGCCCCUUAUGUCUUGGGCUUCAC
This is a ribosomal RNA of 1151 nucleotides. It matches the Rfam family "Bacterial small subunit ribosomal RNA", at positions 55 to 1219 of the family's 1533-position model.